Molecule: ribosomal RNA, 484 nt
Filed under: uncultured bacterium
Lineage: Bacteria
Description: partial 16S ribosomal RNA
Rfam family: Bacterial small subunit ribosomal RNA
Source: RNAcentral
AUUGAACGCUGGCGGCAUGCUUUACACAUGCAAGUCGAACGGCAGCGCGGGCUUCGGCCUGGCUGCGAGUGGCGAACGGGUGAGUAAUGCAUCGGAACGUGCCCAGCAGUGGGGGAUAGCCCGGCGAAAGCCGGAUUAAUACCGCAUACGACCUGAGGGUGAAAGCGGGGGACCGAAAGGCCUUGCGCUAUUGGAGCGGCCGAUGUCGGAUUAGCUAGUUGGUGGGGUAAAGGCUUACCAAGGCGACGAUCCGUAGCUGGUCUGAGAGGACGACCAGCCACACUGGAACUGAGACACGGCCCAGACUCCUACGGGAGGCAGCAGUGGGGAAUUUUGGACAAUGGGGGCAACCCUGAUCCAGCCAUGCCGCGUGCGUGAAGAAGGCCUUCGGGUUGUAAAGCGCUUUUGUUCGGGAAGAAAACCUCUGGGCUAAUACCCCGGGGGGAUGACGGUACCGGAAGAAUAAGCACCGGCUAACUACGUG